GAUGAACGCUGGCGGCGUGCCUAAUACAUGCAAGUCGAGCGAACGGACGAGAAGCUUGCUUCUCUGAUGUUAGCGGCGGACGGGUGAGUAACACGUGGAUAACCUACCUAUAAGACUGGGAUAACUUCGGGAAACCGGAGCUAAUACCGGAUGAUAUUUUGAACCGCAUGGUUCAAAAGUGAAAGACGGUCUUGCUGUCACUUAUAGAUGGAUCCGCGCUGCAUUAGCUAGUUGGUAAGGUAACGGCUUACCAAGGCAACGAUGCAUAGCCGACCUGAGAGGGUGAUCGGCCACACUGGAACUGAGAAACGGUCCAGACUCCUACGGGAGGCAGCAGUAGGGAAUCUUCCGCAAUGGGCGAAAGCCUGACGGAGCAACGCCGCGUGAGCGAUGAAGGUCUUCGGAUCGUAAAACUCUGUUAUUAGGGAAGAACAUAUGUGUAAGUAACUGUGCACAUCUUGACGGUACCUAAUCAGAAAGCCACGGCUAACUACGUG
RNAcentral lists this ribosomal RNA (497 nucleotides) under uncultured bacterium. RNAcentral describes it as "partial 16S ribosomal RNA". It matches the Rfam family "Bacterial small subunit ribosomal RNA", at positions 28 to 507 of the family's 1533-position model. The record is from RNAcentral.